Molecule: ribosomal RNA, 1314 nt
Filed under: Campylobacter jejuni
Lineage: Bacteria; Pseudomonadati; Campylobacterota; Epsilonproteobacteria; Campylobacterales; Campylobacteraceae
Description: bacterial SSU rRNA
Rfam family: Bacterial small subunit ribosomal RNA
Source: RNAcentral
CGCACGGGUGAGUAAGGUAUAGUUAAUCUGCCCUACACAAGAGGACAACAGUUGGAAACGACUGCUAAUACUCUAUACUCCUGCUUAACACAAGUUGAGUAGGGAAAGUUUUUCGGUGUAGGAUGAGACUAUAUAGUAUCAGCUAGUUGGUAAGGUAAUGGCUUACCAAGGCUAUGACGCUUAACUGGUCUGAGAGGAUGAUCAGUCACACUGGAACUGAGACACGGUCCAGACUCCUACGGGAGGCAGCAGUAGGGAAUAUUGCGCAAUGGGGGAAACCCUGACGCAGCAACGCCGCGUGGAGGAUGACACUUUUCGGAGCGUAAACUCCUUUUCUUAGGGAAGAAUUCUGACGGUACCUAAGGAAUAAGCACCGGCUAACUCCGUGCCAGCAGCCGCGGUAAUACGGAGGGUGCAAGCGUUACUCGGAAUCACUGGGCGUAAAGGGCGCGUAGGCGGAUUAUCAAGUCUCUUGUGAAAUCUAAUGGCUUAACCAUUAAACUGCUUGGGAAACUGAUAGUCUAGAGUGAGGGAGAGGCAGAUGGAAUUGGUGGUGUAGGGGUAAAAUCCGUAGAUAUCACCAAGAAUACCCAUUGCGAAGGCGAUCUGCUGGAACUCAACUGACGCUAAGGCGCGAAAGCGUGGGGAGCAAACAGGAUUAGAUACCCUGGUAGUCCACGCCCUAAACGAUGUACACUAGUUGUUGGGGUGCUAGUCAUCUCAGUAAUGCAGCUAACGCAUUAAGUGUACCGCCUGGGGAGUACGGUCGCAAGAUUAAAACUCAAAGGAAUAGACGGGGACCCGCACAAGCGGUGGAGCAUGUGGUUUAAUUCGAAGAUACGCGAAGAACCUUACCUGGGCUUGAUAUCCUAAGAACCUUUUAGAGAUAAGAGGGUGCUAGCUUGCUAGAACUUAGAGACAGGUGCUGCACGGCUGUCGUCAGCUCGUGUCGUGAGAUGUUGGGUUAAGUCCCGCAACGAGCGCAACCCACGUAUUUAGUUGCUAACGGUUCGGCCGAGCACUCUAAAUAGACUGCCUUCGUAAGGAGGAGGAAGGUGUGGACGAUGUCAAGUCAUCAUGGCCCUUAUGCCCAGGGCGACACACGUGCUACAAUGGCAUAUACAAUGAGACGCAAUACCGCGAGGUGGAGCAAAUCUAUAAAAUAUGUCCCAGUUCGGAUUGUUCUCUGCAACUCGAGAGCAUGAAGCCGGAAUCGCUAGUAAUCGUAGAUCAGCCAUGCUACGGUGAAUACGUUCCCGGGUCUUGUACUCACCGCCCGUCACACCAUGGGAGUUGAUUUCACUCGAAGCCGGA